AUAAAUACUUGAAAUAAAGAACUCCAUUUAAAUAAUUAAUUUAAAGGUCAAUAUAUAAUUAAAUUAAUCAAGCUCAAUUUAAAUUAAUAAUUAAGAGCUCAAAUAAUUUAAAUAGAUAUAAGCCCAAAUUAAUUAGAUAAAUUAAGUCUAUCAUGUUUUUCUUUGAAUAAGGCCCAAACAAUUAAAUUAAAGAAGCCCAAAUCCUAUAAAUAAAAGAAGCCCAUCAGAUUUUUAUUUAAAAGGGCCGAGCCCAACAGAUAUUGAAGCCCAAACAUUUAAAAUCUAAGCCCAUCAAUUAAUUAAAUAAGGGCCCAAACACUUAAUAAAAUCGGCCCAAGUCUCGGCCCAACAAUUAAUAAAUUCGGCCCAAUUCUUAACCUAAAUAUACACACACAAUUACACACUCAAACACACACAUUCAGCCUCACCCUCUCAUCUCUCUCUCUCUCGGACUCCCUCUGUCCGCCUGCCGUUCAACGCGGCCGCCACCGCCGCCGCCGCCGCCGGCGAGCGGCGCGGCUGCUGCCUCUCGCUCCUCCCCUGAACUCUCGUCCUCUCUCACCCUCUCGCCUCUAUCUAUCUAUCUGCCGUACACAGGACGCACGCCGCUGUCAAAGCGGUGCGCCGCCGCCGGUGCCUCCGUCGUCCUCGCGGCAGAUCCGCUACCGCGUCAAGACCACGGCCACCGCCUUUCCUCCCCUCCCUCUAUCUCUCUCUCUCUCCCGUCUCAAUUCUUUCCCUGGAAACAGACGCACGGACACAGCCCCUGAUGUGCCGCCGCCUCCUUUCCUUCGCCGGUGGGCUCACGGCCAGGAGCCGUCGAUCGCCGACAGCCAGGUAAACCCUAACUUCUUUCAUUUUCCCCUUCUUUCCUUUUUAGAUUAAAACUGAAAACUCCUCUCUCUCUCUUUUGAUUUGGCUGAAUCGGAGCAACGGCGACGUCACGGCUGUCACGUUACCGCCGCCGCCGCCGACGACGAGCCACCAUGGCUCCGCCGCUGACCGCCGUCUGAAAACAGAUCGGAAGCCACCGCGGCUCCGUCGCCGUCCGUUGACCGCCGGCAACGACGAGUCACCAAGGCUGCCGCCUCCCUCUGAUCUCGACUCACACACACAAGGCAGGGUCAGCCCCCCCCCUUCAAAGGUUUCAAGCCUCAAAUUCAGUCGAACACUUAGCACAUAGGAUUUGAGCAAAAAUCAAAUACUGUAAAUUUCAGUUCAUACGUUAAUACAUGUAAAUUUUUCUUUUGGAUCAUUCUCGUUUGGUGGUUCUCUGAUAUAUUGGAUAAAAGGGGAAUACCUUGAAUAGGUGUGGUGGAAGAUAUUUAUUUCUGCAGAUUUUGUUUAUCA
This is a long non-coding RNA of Salvia miltiorrhiza (redroot sage), 1350 nucleotides long. RefSeq lists it as uncharacterized. NCBI's taxonomy places the organism in Eukaryota, Viridiplantae, Streptophyta, Magnoliopsida, Lamiales, Lamiaceae. The transcript has 2 exons. The record is from RefSeq and is a predicted model, not a curated record.